RNAcentral lists this ribosomal RNA (429 nucleotides) under bacterium. RNAcentral's name for it is "partial 16S ribosomal RNA". It matches the Rfam family "Bacterial small subunit ribosomal RNA", at positions 355 to 776 of the family's 1533-position model. The record is from RNAcentral.
UAGGGAAUCUUCGGCAAUGGGGGCAACCCUGACCGAGCAACGCCGCGUGAGUGAAGAAGGUUUUCGGAUCGUAAAGCUCUGUUGUAAGAGAAGAACGUGUGUGCGAGUGGAAAGUUCACACAGUGACGGUAACUUACCAGAAAGGGUCGGCUAACUACGUGCCAGCAGCAGCGGUAAUACGUAGGUCCCGAGCGUUGUCCGGAUUUAUUGGGCGUAAAGCGAGCGCAGGCGGUUUAAUAAGUCUGAAGUUAAAGGCAGUGGCUUAACCAUUGUGCGAUUUGGAAACUGUUAAACUUGAGUGCAGAAGGGGAGAGGGGAAUUCCAUGUGUAGCGGUGAAAUGCGUAGAUAUAUGGAGGAACGCCGGUGGGGAAAGCGGCUAUCUGGUCUGGAACUGACGCUGAGGCUCGAAAGCGAGGGGAGCAAACAGG